This 402-nucleotide ribosomal RNA is filed under the name uncultured bacterium. RNAcentral's name for it is "bacterial SSU rRNA". It matches the Rfam family "Bacterial small subunit ribosomal RNA", at positions 28 to 417 of the family's 1533-position model. The record is from RNAcentral.
GAUGAACGCUAGCUACAGGCUUAACACAUGCAAGUCGAGGGGAAACGACAUCGAAAGCUUGCUUUUGAUGGGCGUCGACCGGCGCACGGGUGAGUAACGCGUAUCCAACCUGCCCACCACUUGGGGAUAACCUUGCGAAAGUAAGACUAAUACCCGAUGAUAUCUCUAGACGACAUCUGAAAGGGAUUAAAGAUUUAUCGGUGAUGGAUGGGGAUGCGUCUGAUUAGCUUGUUGGCGGGGUUAACGGCCCACCAAGGCAACGAUCAGUAGGGGUUCUGAGAGGAAGGUCCCCCACAUUGGAACUGAGACACGGUCCAAACUCCUACGGGAGGCAGCAGUGAGGAAUAUUGGUCAAUGGGGCGAGAGCCUGAACCAGCCAAGUAGCGUGCAGGACGACGGCCC